GACCAGACUCCUACGGGAGGCAGCAGUGGGGAAUAUUGCACAAUGGGGGAAACCCUGAUGCAGCGACGCCGCGUGAGUGAAGAAGUAUUUCGGUAUGUAAAGCUCUAUCAGCAGGGAAGAAAAUGACGGUACCUGACUAAGAAGCCCCGGCUAACUACGUGCCAGCAGCCGCGGUAAUACGUAGGGGGCAAGCGUUAUCCGGAUUUACUGGGUGUAAAGGGAGCGUAGACGGCAUGGCAAGUCAGAUGUGAAAGCCCGGGGCCCAACCCCGGGACUGCUCUUGGAACUGCGUGGCUGGAGUGCAGGAGGGGCAGGCGGAAUUCCUGGUGUAGCGGUGAAAUGCGUAGAUAUUAGGAGGAACACCAGUGGCGAAGGCGGCCUGCUGGACUGCAACUGACGUUGAGGCUCGAAGGCGUGGGGAGCAAACAGGAUUAGAUACCCCUGUAC
Molecule: ribosomal RNA, 447 nt
Filed under: uncultured bacterium
Lineage: Bacteria
Description: bacterial SSU rRNA
Rfam family: Bacterial small subunit ribosomal RNA
Source: RNAcentral